Molecule: ribosomal RNA, 1678 nt
Filed under: Pseudomonas aeruginosa
Lineage: Bacteria; Pseudomonadati; Pseudomonadota; Gammaproteobacteria; Pseudomonadales; Pseudomonadaceae
Description: partial 23S ribosomal RNA
Rfam family: Bacterial large subunit ribosomal RNA
Source: RNAcentral
GGUCAAGUGAAGAAGCGCAUACGGUGGAUGCCUUGGCAGUCAGAGGCGAUGAAAGACGUGGUAGCCUGCGAAAAGCUUCGGGGAGUCGGCAAACAGACUUUGAUCCGGAGAUCUCUGAAUGGGGGAACCCACCUAGGAUAACCUAGGUAUCUUGUACUGAAUCCAUAGGUGCAAGAGGCGAACCAGGGGAACUGAAACAUCUAAGUACCCUGAGGAAAAGAAAUCAACCGAGAUUCCCUUAGUAGUGGCGAGCGAACGGGGAUUAGCCCUUAAGCUUCAUUGAUUUUAGCGGAACGCUCUGGAAAGUGCGGCCAUAGUGGGUGAUAGCCCCGUACGCGAAAGGAUCUUUGAAGUGAAAUCGAGUAGGACGGAGCACGAGAAACUUUGUCUGAACAUGGGGGGACCAUCCUCCAAGGCUAAAUACUACUGACUGACCGAUAGUGAACCAGUACCGUGAGGGAAAGGCGAAAAGAACCCCGGAGAGGGGAGUGAAAUAGAACCUGAAACCGUAUGCGUACAAGCAGUGGGAGCCUACUUGUUAGGUGACUGCGUACCUUUUGUAUAAUGGGUCAGCGACUUAUAUUCAGUGGCAAGCUUAACCGUAUAGGGUAGGCGUAGCGAAAGCGAGUCUUAAUAGGGCGUUUAGUCGCUGGGUAUAGACCCGAAACCGGGCGAUCUAUCCAUGAGCAGGUUGAAGGUUAGGUAACACUGACUGGAGGACCGAACCCACUCCCGUUGAAAAGGUAGGGGAUGACUUGUGGAUCGGAGUGAAAGGCUAAUCAAGCUCGGAGAUAGCUGGUUCUCCUCGAAAGCUAUUUAGGUAGCGCCUCAUGUAUCACUCUGGGGGGUAGAGCACUGUUUCGGCUAGGGGGUCAUCCCGACUUACCAAACCGAUGCAAACUCCGAAUACCCAGAAGUGCCGAGCAUGGGAGACACACGGCGGGUGCUAACGUCCGUCGUGAAAAGGGAAACAACCCAGACCGCCAGCUAAGGUCCCAAAGUUGUGGUUAAGUGGUAAACGAUGUGGGAAGGCUUAGACAGCUAGGAGGUUGGCUUAGAAGCAGCCACCCUUUAAAGAAAGCGUAAUAGCUCACUAGUCGAGUCGGCCUGCGCGGAAGAUGUAACGGGGCUCAAACCACACACCGAAGCUGCGGGUGUCACGUAAGUGACGCGGUAGAGGAGCGUUCUGUAAGCCUGUGAAGGUGAGUUGAGAAGCUUGCUGGAGGUAUCAGAAGUGCGAAUGCUGACAUGAGUAACGACAAUGGGUGUGAAAAACACCCACGCCGAAAGACCAAGGGUUCCUGCGCAACGUUAAUCGACGCAGGGUUAGUCGGUUCCUAAGGCGAGGCUGAAAAGCGUAGUCGAUGGGAAACAGGUUAAUAUUCCUGUACUUCUGGUUACUGCGAUGGAGGGACGGAGAAGGCUAGGCCAGCUUGGCGUUGGUUGUCCAAGUUUAAGGUGGUAGGCUGAAAUCUUAGGUAAAUCCGGGGUUUCAAGGCCGAGAGCUGAUGACGAGUCGUCUUUUAGAUGACGAAGUGGUUGAUGCCAUGCUUCCAAGAAAAGCUUCUAAGCUUCAGGUAACCAGGAACCGUACCCCAAACCGACACAGGUGGUCGGGUAGAGAAUACCAAGGCGCUUGAGAGAACUCGGGUGAAGGAACUAGGCAAAAUGGCACCGU